This 225-nucleotide non-coding RNA is filed under the name Terrisporobacter sp. RNAcentral's name for it is "T-box sequence". It matches the Rfam family "T-box leader". Rfam says of the family: Uncharged tRNA acts as the effector for transcription antitermination of genes in the T-box leader family. T-boxes are found upstream of many aminoacyl-tRNA synthetase genes and some amino acid biosynthetic genes usually in Gram-positive bacteria. The record is from RNAcentral. Lineage: Bacteria; Bacillati; Bacillota; Clostridia; Peptostreptococcales; Peptostreptococcaceae.
AAAAAAGCAAUGAUAGAGAGAGUAGGCUUUUGGAUAUUCUACAGAGAGUUGGAUAAGCUGAGAACCAACGUAUUGAAUAAAGUUGAAAAUCACUCUGGAGCUGCAGGCUGAAAGAUUUUAAUCAAUUAAGCUAUGCCGGUUAGUGUCGUUAAACUAUAGAGUGUUAUAUAUACUACAAGUAUAUAUAGAAUUAGGGUGGUAACGCGAUUUCAACUCGUCCCUUUU